AACGAACGCUGGCGGCAUGCCUAACACAUGCAAGUCGAACGAAGGCUUCGGCCUUAGUGGCGCACGGGUGCGUAACGCGUGGGAAUCUGCCCUUGGGUUCGGAAUAACUCAGAGAAAUUUGAGCUAAUACCGGAUGAUGACGUAAGUCCAAAGAUUUAUCGCCCAAGGAUGAGCCCGCGUAAGAUUAGCUAGUUGGUGGGGUAAAGGCCUACCAAGGCGACGAUCUUUAGCUGGUCUGAGAGGAUGAUCAGCCACACUGGGACUGAGACACGGCCCAGACUCCUACGGGAGGCAGCAGUGGGGAAUAUUGGACAAUGGGCGAAAGCCUGAUCCAGCAAUGCCGCGUGAGUGAUGAAGGCCUUAGGGUCGUAAAGCUCUUUUACCAGGGAUGAUAAUGACAGUACCUGGAGAAUAAGCUCCGGCUAACUCCGUG
RNAcentral lists this ribosomal RNA (433 nucleotides) under uncultured bacterium. Its description in RNAcentral is "bacterial SSU rRNA". It matches the Rfam family "Bacterial small subunit ribosomal RNA", at positions 29 to 507 of the family's 1533-position model. The record is from RNAcentral.